GUUAAAUGUUAACUCACGUUGCCUGGCAGGUGAAACACACAAAGUCUGCAAAAAUCUGAAUCAACAAAACCUUGCUAACUGUGACCAUGCUGAAGUAUGUUCGCUGUACCUGUACCAAUGCCAACAGGAAGUGCAAUGUGUUGUCAUAGAAAUCAGAGCCCUGACUUCCACAACAGUGUCAUAGGAAUCGUACUUAGGCAGGAGAUUUUACUGAUGCAUUCCUAAAGAGCACAUUACUGCCUUUGGACAACAUCUGCUUAUACUGAGAUACUUUGCUAACUUUUUUGAAGGCCCCAUAGAGGAAUCUCUGGAUUGUAUUAUGGGGUGCAACACAAGUAAAGGUACUCAAGCCACAGAUCCAUCCAAAAAACCUAAAGACAGACCCAAAUCUGUCGACUCAUCGGACAAAGAAGAAGAGGACCAUGUCAGUGAAAUCUCACACACAGAGAAUAACGAAGUGGAGACAGAAGACAGCUGAAAAUGACAAUUUUUUCUAGUGUUACCUUCCUCAAGCUUCUAUGGUAAUUGCCAUUUCUAUUCGGUCCAGCUGUGAUCGGCUGAAGUUUCCAGAAGAGUGCAAGGAGAUCUGCACCAGCCUGUUUCUUUACAUGAUGUCUAUUUAUAUACACAUAUUCUCAUCUCAUCACGUCAUCUCUGUCCAUCAUAACUUCUUCAAUACCUUCUUUCUGUAUGUAUUUUUGGUUCCUUGUAUGACCAGAGGUUAAAGAUUCAUUGUUAUUGUGAUAUUAGCAGAUCUUUUCUUAUAUUAUUAGCCGAUUCUAUUCUUUAAGAAUGUAAAUAAAUAUUCUUAAGAAAUGAAAAAUGCAUUAUUUAUUUUGCACAAAAAAAAAGAAAAAGAAAGAAUAAAUACCAUUAAAAUGUAAAACUUGAGCCCUGGAAUUUAGCUGUAAUAUCUUCCAAGACCAGCAGAUGCCUCUCUCUGUCUAUUUACAGUUUUUUUUUUCAACCGCUUACACACAAAAUCUUUACUUGUCACACAAUUUCUGAAAGCUGACACUCAAACACCAGAAGCACACACCAUAUCUGCAAAACCAUACACUAAUUCUCUGCCUUUUUGCAAAGCACAUCACACUAUUCUCUAUGUAACACAAAAAUCUAACAGGAAAUAACAUUAUGGCAAAAGUGUUUGCGAAUGUUUGCUUGUGAGAUGUGUUUGUGAUAUUUUGAAGGCAGUGUUGCAUUUUGCAUUUUGCCGUUUGUGUGUGCAAUUUUUGGAUUUGUGUGUAAAGUUUUGAAAAAAAGUUUUGAAAAUGUGUGUAAGCAGUUGAAAAACACUGUAAAUGUAAAUAUGGUUCAUUGAUACGUUUGAUAAAAAUGGAACCUUUGUGAGACCAAGUACAAUAAGAAAUUGUAAAGUUAUUAACAAAAUAAAUAAAUAAACAACUAAACAAAUAGUGUAAAUUAAUUCAUAAAAACUUGCUACGUGUUUAGUAUUGUGUUAGACUGACUGGGACAUGUCACAGCACUUACUUAUUGAUGCCCUUUUGUUGGUUUUAUUUGUCACUUUCGAUUAAAACUGC
Cyprinus carpio carpio is the source of this 1541-nucleotide long non-coding RNA. The record is from Ensembl. NCBI's taxonomy places the organism in Eukaryota, Metazoa, Chordata, Actinopteri, Cypriniformes, Cyprinidae.